Glycine soja is the source of this 2044-nucleotide long non-coding RNA. RefSeq lists it as uncharacterized. The record is from RefSeq and is a predicted model, not a curated record. Lineage: Eukaryota; Viridiplantae; Streptophyta; Magnoliopsida; Fabales; Fabaceae. The transcript has 3 exons.
UCAAAUCAUUGACCUCUAUGUAAUCUAUGUCGUCUUCACCGCUCUCAUCCAGGUACUUUUUACCCAAUUUUGCUCAUUCUAAUGUCACUGAGAUCUGUCCCCUUUGUUUGUUUUCUUGUGCAAUGGAUUUUAUUUGAGUUUUAAGCUGUUAGUUAUUACCCGUGUCAUUUGGGAGACAAAACCCUUGAUUGAAUUCAGAAGAUCUAGGCCUUGUUUCUUUACUAUUUUUCUAAAAUUUGUUUGUCAUGUCAACAAUUGAACAAAGUAGUACUUGAGGGGGCAUAGAAGGUGGAUGUGAUUCUUAGAUUAUUUAUUUAAGAGAUUAUCUGGCACCAGUUCUAUCUCACCACUUCAAUUCUUCUACUUAGCUAGCAUAAGAAUCAUGUUUGCAAUUCUAUUUGUUCUUCCCCCACCCUUCACUAUAUGUACAUAUUCAUUCACCCACCUUCUAGCUACCAAUAAAAUUGUUCACUUUUACUAAUUAAUUUUCUAAUAUGGAAAUUGAAGAGCAAGCGAUGAAAAUGAUGAUGAAGUUGUUGUCUAGGUUAAGACGUAUUUGUGUUUUUCAUGGCACCAGCCCUAGCAAGAACCCCCCAACUACUUACUCGCUAUCAUCCAACUCACCAAACAACUUGUAAUGUCACAACUCAAUUAUUAUUAUUUCUCUCUUCUUCAAUUCGGACAAAACCACGUUUAUUUAUUCUUUUAAUUAUUAAUUAGAAUAUAUAUACACUCACAUAUCACACCACUCAAUUUUCUUUCUUUAAUUCUGAUCUUCAAACUAUAUAUGUACCAAAUUAGAGUAAAUAUUCCCUUGGCUAAUUAAAAUUUGUAUGAGUUAGAAUAGUAAUAAAAGAACCAAUAAGUAUUCAUAUUAAUAAUCUAGUAAGUAAAGAUGAAUAAACAAUUGAAGGGUUAUUAUUUAUUAUGAGUUUAAUUAACUAGAUUGAUGAUGAUGUGGUAAGAUCAAGAAGAAGAAAUUAUAAGAAUUGGAUAUAUGCAUGUGGAGAGGAACAUCAACUUGGUUUAUGGAGGAGGGAGCAUUGGGCUGAUGGGUUUAAUCUCACAAAUUGUGCUUGAUGGCAGACACCACGUGUUAGGGGUGAUUCCAACAACUCUGAUGCCAAGAAAGGUAUUUUUAUUUUAUUAUGUUUCAUAAGUUUAGAAAUGUUAAUUAAUGAGUGGUUUGGAUUACAUAAGAUAACAGGGGAAAGUGUUGGAGAAGUGAGAGCAGUGUUAAGCAUGCACCAACAUAAGGCAGAAAUGUACUGGUGAUCCAAGAAAGUGUUAAGGGAUGGAAGAAGUUCCUCCAGAAAUUUGUAAUCUUGUUGCUUUAUUUGAUAUUCUUCUAGUUUCUAGUUUAAUGAUUUCCUCCUUCAACGUUAGAAGAAAAAUGUACUUAAGUUCGCUGGCCCAAAUAACCAGUUUAAGCACUUGUAUAUCCUUCAGGACAAUAUAUGUUUUUUAUAUAUGAAUUCACCUUCAAUCAGUCCUUAACUAUGGAGGCAUUGGGUAUCAAUGUGGAAAUAGAAAUACAAAUAGCAGAUAGAGAUAUUUAUUACUUGUUCCUUUACAUGCUAUUAGUUAUAAGGGUUAUUUAAUGUGUGUUUCUUUUUUGUUGUUGAAGUUGUUGUUCUUUUUUGCGAAAAGACCCAUCUUAACAUGGGCACAAUUGGGCAUGUUGAUUAUGGGAAAACCACACUGAUUGUUGCAAUUACCAAGGUGUUAGCUAAAGAAGGUAAAGCCAAGGGCAUUGCCUUUGAGGACAUAGACAAGGCUCCUGAGGAGAAGAAGAUAUGGAUUAUUAUUAUGACUAUGAAAGAUAGAUCACUAUUUUUUUUUAGUCCAUACUCCAAUUAUGCAUGUUGUGAAUAAUACAGAACAAAUUGUUUUAGUAGUAAAAUUUUGUAAACUUCUCUUGAUCUUACAAGCUCAUGUAGAGUACGAGACAACAAAAAGGCACUAUGUCCAUGUUGAUUGCCCAGGACAUGCAGACUAUGUUAAAGUAUGGUUAGUUGGAAUGGGGACAAACUUUGUUAAAGCA